This 7990-nucleotide long non-coding RNA is filed under the name Lathyrus oleraceus (garden pea). RNAcentral's name for it is "Pisum sativum (pea) long non-coding RNA (PSAT_LNC034472)". The stretch from base 1140 to 1226 matches the Rfam family "tRNA". The record is from RNAcentral. Lineage: Eukaryota; Viridiplantae; Streptophyta; Magnoliopsida; Fabales; Fabaceae.
UGAAUCACGCAAGGGACCCCUUAACUAUUCAGGAUCAAUAGAACGAAUCGCACUUUUACCACUAAACUAUACCCGCUACAAUACCAUUAUUGUAUAUAAAACGAUCUUUUGUCCAACAAGGGAAUCAAUCAUAAUUAUGAAAUAGGUGCAUAAUUUUAUGAGAAAUAGAGUGUUUCCAUGUUUCGUAAAGGGCCCCCUAAUGAAAUUUAGAAAAGGGGGCAAAUCUCAUUUUUGGAUUUUGUUGAAGGUAUUUUGAUAGAUAGAUCUCGACAAAAUUACUAAACUAAAUUCAUAACACAAAAAUACAUUAUGCAAGCAAGAAUCCAUAGUUCUAUUUCUUUUUUUAGAUACGUUACCUGAUUCAUUCGUAGGAUAUACGAUCACAUAGUGAUUUUUAUUUUUGUUUGAUCAUAUUUAAAUGUUUGAAUUAAUUACAAGUUUCAAAUCUGAUACAGAAAAAUAAAUCAUUGUUAUCCAGGAUUCAUGGGAAAAAAGAGCUGUGCCAGUACCUAGAUUAUGCAAGCAAGAAUCCAUAGUUCUAUUUCUUUUUUUAGAUACGUUACCUGAUUCAUUCGUAGGAUAUACGAUCACAAAGUGAUUUUUAUUUUUGUUUGAUCAUAUUUAAAUGUUUGAAUUAAUUACGAGUUUCAAAUCUGAUACAGAAAAAUAAAUCAUUGUUAUCCAGGAUUCAUGGGAAAAAAGAGCUGUGCCAGUACCUAGCUGGACUCUGGUUGGAUAAAAAAACAAACUAAAAAAGAAAAUCUAAAAUUAUGGAUUUAGAUUAUCUAUUUAGUAUAUAUAGAAUGAAUAUAUAUUUGAAUCUAUAUUUAUGAGUUAAUAUAGAAUUAUGAAUAGUAAUGAAAUAAAAUUAUAAUCAAAUAGAAAAAAAAAAAAGAUAGAUAAGUUAUAUCAAAUGAAGAUCAAUAUCAAAUAAGAUAUAUAGAAGGCUUUUUUCGAGCCCUACUUUUUGUUCUUUUUGUUUAUGCGAGGUAUCAUAAGCAUAAUCAUUCCAUUUUUUGAAUUGGGGAGAGAAAUCAAUAUCAAAUAAGAUAUAUAGAAGGCUUUUUUCGAGCCCUACUUUUUGUUCUUUUUGUUUAUGCGAGGUAUCAUAAGCAUAAUCAUUCCAUUUUUUGAAUUGGGGAGAGAUGGCUGAGUGGACUGAAGCGUCGGAUUGCUAAUCCGUUGUACGCAUUUUUGUACCGAGGGUUCGAAUCCCUCUCUUUCCGUUUAUUGAUGAUUUGGCAUUUUUUUCUUUUGAACUUAUGGAAUUUCUUUUUUUUUUUUAUUAUUAUUUCCUGUUUCUUUCAUUUUUAACUAGUUCUUUUUGAAAAAUAGAUAGAAAAACGAAAAAUAUUUCAAAAUCCAGGACAAGUAAGGAAAAGAAAAAAGAUUUUCUUAUUCUUCACGUCCAGGAUUACGUCCAGGAUCAUUAGAUAGGAAUCCGAAGAUGAAAAGAGAAACAAAGAAUAUCACUAUCGUGUAAACAAAUAGUUUUAGAGUAAGCAUUACAAAAUCUCCAAGAUAAUUAAAAAAAACGACAGAGAAAAGAAUAAGAUUCUCUCCUAUUUCAUAUUAUGUUUCCUUGAGACUCAGUUUAUAAGAAAUGAAGUUAUUUCAAAAAAACUUAAGAAAUUGGUUUGUAGUAAGAGUUGAGAUCCUUUUUUACCAUUACCAAAAAUUGUAUUUCAUAUCUACAAUCAAGAUCCACGUAUUGGUGGUAGACUCAAAUCGAAUAAUAGAAUUUUUAUUUUUUAAUGGAAAAAAAGGAAAUGAUGAGAUGAUCUAUAUUUUUAUUGUCUAUCCAAAAAUUGCAAGAUUUGUAAUCACGGAUUCACACUGUAAGACUUAUCUGAUCUUUAAAAAUAUUCAAAUUUGAGUUUUCUAAUAAAUUCUGACUUUUUUUAGGACAUUAUACAAAUUAAAUAUCUUAUCGAAAACUUACAGCAGCUUGCCAAACAAAAGCUAAGAGAAAAAAGAGUAAGGGUAUUACUGGCAUAAAAUCUACAAUUGGAUUCAAAAAAGCAUAAGCUUCAGGUAAUUUCCCAAGAAAAAACUACUUGAAUAAAGGGCAGAGUUAAUACAAAUACAGACCAAGCUAAAGAUAUUAAGCAUAACAAAAAUGUUGUUCUUUAAGAAAAUGAAUUGUAUUUUUAUUUUUUUUAUUAAAUCUGAUCUUUAAAAAUAUUCAAAUUUGAGUUUUCUAAUAAAUUCUGACUUUUUUUAGGACAUUAUUCAAAUUAAAUAUCUUAUCGAAAACUUACAGCAGCUUGCCAAACAAAAGCUAAGAGAAAAAGAGUAAGGGUAUUACUGGCAUAAAAUCUACAAUUGGAUUCAAAAAAGCAUAAGCUUCAGGUAAUUUCCCCAAGAAAAAACUACUUGAAUAAAGGGCAGAGUUAAUACAAAUACAGACCAAGCUAAUGAUAUUAAGCAUAACAAAAAUGUUGUUCUUUAAGAAAAUGAAUUGUAUUUUUAUUUUUUUUAUUAUCUUCUUAUUAUAUAUAUUAUUAUAUAUAUGAUAUGAUUUAUUAUAUAUAUAUAAUUUAUUAUUAUCCGCUUUUUUUGUAUUAUACUUUUAUAUUCACAAUGAAAUAUAAAAGUAUAAUACAAAAAAUAAAGGUUUAUUUUAUUUUCUAUUUAUAUUACAAUAGAUAAUAUAUAGAAUAGAAAAUGGGGCGUGGCCAUACUUUUAUAUUCACAAUGAAAUAUAAAAGUAUAAUACAAAAAAUAAAGGUUUAUUUUAUUUUCUAUUUAUAUUACAAUAGAUAAUAUAUAGAAUAGAAAAUGGGGCGUGGCCAAGCGGUAAGGCGGCAGGUUUUGGUCCCGUGAUUCGGAGGUUCGAAUCCUUCCGUCCCAGGUGAAACCGAUUGAUGAUAUCACCAGUUUUCUUCAUGAAGGCAUAAAAAGGCUUCUUAUACGUUUCUAGGGGAGGGGAUAUAUUAUUCAUCUAAAGUUGCUCAACCUACAUAUUAGGAAAAAGUCAAUAAAUAAAGUUUAUCGAUAAAUACCGUAGACCCUAUAAGCUUUUUUACUUAUUUUCAAUUAGUAUAUUUAGAAAAUAUACUAAUUGGAAAUCGAACAAUGAUUAUGAUUAUGCUAUUCUAUUCAUCUAUAAUAUUUUCAUUCAUCUAUCAUAUUUUCAUGUAAAUGGAGGAAAAAAAGAAAAAUCUAUGCAAAGAAAGUGGUUCAAUUCAAUGAUCUAUUCAUCUAAAGUUGCUCAACCUACAUAUUAGGAAAAAGUCAAUAAAUAAAGUUUAUCCAUAAAUACCGUAGACCCUAUGAGCUUUUUUACUUAUUUUCAAUUAGUAUAUUUAGAAAAUAUACUAAUUGAAAAUCGAAUUUGAUAACUAUUCUAAAAAAAAAAUUAUCAUCCAAUGACUAUUCUAUUCAUCUAUAAUAUUUUCAUUCAUCUAUAAUAUUUUCAUUUAUCUAUAAUAUUUUCAUGUAAAUGGAGGAAAAAAAGAAAGAUCUAUGCAAAAAAAGUGGUUCAAUUCAAUGAUCUUUAACAGGGGUUUAGAAUACAGGUGUGGUUUAAGUAAAUCAAUAGAUAGUUUUGGUCCUAUUGGAAAUAACGUAAAUGAAGACCCAUCUAGUUUAACUGAUAUGGAUAAUAACAUUGAUAACUGGAAGAACAAUAGUGAAAAUUCUUGUUAUAGUCAUGCUGAUUCUUUAGCAGAUGUCACGAACAUAGAUAAUUUACUAUCUCAUAAAAAAAAUUCAAUUAGGGACAGUAAUAGCAACAUAUAUGACAUAUAUUAUGCUUAUGAUACUAAUGAUACUAUUGAAUUGGAUUCGGAAGAAGAAUCUUUGAAAGAUCGUCUGGAUGAAGACAUGCUUUCUCCGGAUCCCAUUGAAUUGGAUUCGGAAGAAGAAUCUUCAAAAGAUCGUGUGGAUUCGGAAGAGGAAGAAGAGGAAAAAGACCAAUCUUAUAUCGACCGUCUUGAUUCUUAUCAAGAAAAGACAGGAUUACCGGAGACGGUUCAAACAGGCACAGAUCAACGUGAGGAAAUCAAUCGGUUGUUCAAAGAUAUUAUGAAUAAACUUGACUUGUAUUUGCAAACUGCGAAAAAUCGUGUGGAUUCGGAAGAGGAAGAAGAGGAAAAAGACCAAUCUUAUAUCAAUCGUCUUGAUUCUUAUCAAGAAAAGACAGGAUUACCGGCGGCGGUUCAAACAGGCACAGGUCAACUAAAUGGUAUUCCUUUAGCACUAGUUGUUAUGGAUUCUGAGUUUAUAGCGGGUAGUAUGGGAUACGUAGUGGGUGAGAAAAUCACUCGGUUGAUCGAAUAUGCUACCAAUCUACUUUUACCUCUUAUUAUAGUAUGUGCGUCCGGAGGAGCGCGUAUGCAAGAAGGAAGUUUGAGCUUAAUGCAAAUGGCUAAAAUUUCUUCUGCCUUAUAUAAUUAUCAAAUCAAUCAAAAGUUAUUCUAUGUAGCGAUACUUACAUCUCCGUCUACUAGUGGGGUAACAUCUAGUUUUGGGAUGUUGGGGGAUAUCAUUAUUGUCGAACCUAAUGCAACCAUUGCAUUUGCGGGUAAAAGAGUAAUUGAACAAUUGUUGAAUAAGGAAGUGCCUGAAGGUUCCCAAUCGGCUGACCUUUUAUUCGACAAGGGCUUAUUGGAUGCAGUCGUACCACGUCAUCUUUUAAAGGAGUUUUUAACUGAGUUAUUUCAGUUCCAUGGUUUCGCUCCUUUGACUUAAAAUUGGACUAAAAAUGAAAACUAAUGCAGACAUUUUAUUUAUGUUUUUCAAAUUUGAUGACGAGAUCCAAUCCGAGUAGAUAAGAGGCUAUGGCUAUGAUACAAAAAUAAAAUUAGAACACACAAGAGUAAAGUAAAAGAUAAGAAUAAAAAUAAUAGGUAUAAAUAAAAUAUGAAAUUGAGGUAUCCCAUUUUAUGAUAAACUUACCAUCCCUUUUUGUUCCUUUAGUAGAGCCUGCAUUUCCCGGCAGUUGCAAUGGCUUCUUUAUUUCUUCAUGUUGAGAAAAGACUUUUUAUUUUCCACACAAAAAAUCACUAAAUAAUAUAUGAAAAAGAUAACUCAGAAUAUUCGAAGGAUUACUAUAUAUAUAAUAUAUAUAGUAGUCCAAUUUUUGUACGAUGGGACUGUAGAGGGUAUUAUAGUAACUGUUUUAUCGCUUGUUUUUGCUAGAAAAUUAUUUUGUUGGGCAGAAGGUCAUCCUGCAUAUCGUUUAGGAGACUCAUGGAUUGCCUUUGUAGCAGGGUCUCAAAACAGUUUCACUAUUUUGUGUUGUUCUUUCAAAUUUUUACAUUCAUUUGGGAGGAAGUUUUUCGCUUACAUUCAGAUGAAGUUGUCCAGUGUGCCACGAGAAGAAAGGGUCAGGCUACUUUUUUAUGCAAUUGUAAAGAUCUUUCUAACAUUAUAUCGAAUGAGAUUUAGUUGUCGUUCCGGCUUUUCUGGAAGAGAUCGUUGUAUUAUUCCCAGAGUUCCUAUGAACACUAGUCAGUGCCUCAUACAAAAAACUAACCCAGAUAGUAAUGAUGUCCUUUCUAUGAAAACCAGAGAAAGAGAAAAGGGGACCAUUCCCUUGAGUUCUGUUUAUGCUAGUCCUCCAUGCAACCGUCUAAAAAAAAGUGUGGAGUUACCCAGAUUAUUGAGUGGGCGAAUAGAAAAUGUUCCACCAAAGGACGAAUAAACAAGCGAGAAUAGUCUAUAAUAUAUCAAUUUAUAUGAAAAAAUUAAAAAUUGAUAUAUUAUAAGCUAAGCUGCUCUAUUACUUGUAUUUACUUGUAAUAGAACUUAUGGAUUAUUAUUAUAUAUACAGUUGAAAAAUAAGAUGAAACUGAGGACGAAAAAUGGAAAAAAAGAAAGCAUUCAUUCCCCUUCUAUACAAUCAAAGGUUUAAGUGUAGGAGAGUUUGAUAACACCGAAAAACAUAGUUUAUUUUGACUCGAUUUGCCCAUGUUUUAUUAUUAUUAUGUUUCAUUUUAUAGUAUUAUGCUUGUGAUUUAUGCAUGUUUCAGGUAUUUUACGAGUAAGAGUUGAUUUAUGAAGAAACCAGAAGAAAAUGGAAAAAAUGGAUAAAAGUGGCAAAAAUACACACGUGGCUACCUGCAUGGUGCCCGCCGUGACUAGGCAGGCGUGGAAUCCCCUAGAGCGGAAAAAGGAAGGCUGAAGAUGCAGUCAAAGGCUUGUGGCGACCGCCACAAGCCUCAUGGUGUUCUCCAUGCACAUCAAAGAAGGUCGAAAGCAUAUUUUGCACUUGUGGCGACCGCCAUGAAGUUCGGUUCCUGAAAAAACGCAACAAAAGGAAUCAGUCCUUCCCCAUUCCACAUAUUUUUCUCCCACAAAGUCUACACGACUUAGACUCGGAUCAGUGCUUAUUUUUACUAUAAAGUGUCAUUUUUGAGGAGUUUCUGCCAUCCAAAUUUGUACGCAUACAUUUUAGUUCUUAGUUUUCAGCAGAAAUUACAUUCAGGAUCAAAGUUGUCGAUAUUUGAAGGUAUUUUCCAUUCAGUUCAAUGUACUCGAAGUAUUUUCGCAUUUAAUUCCUGUUUACAGGUUCUUUACAUAAUUGCUUUAAUUUGAUUCUGUCUGUUCAAAAUUUAUUUAUUUGCAAUGAUGUUGUCAAUUUCUAUUACCAUGAAUCGCAUAUUUAUGUUUAAUACCAUAUCUGGCUAAACUAUUUUUAGUUCGGUAUGUGAGGAUCAUCGUUCCGACGAGACUCGGUAAUAAGUUGGCGUAAACCUUUUUAUAAAUAUUCUUUUGAUUUUGAUUUUUAAUUGUAAUUCUGAAAAGUUUUGCACGAGAGUGAAACCAUUAAGGUUCAAAAUAAAAAAUGAGAGUGUGAGACUUGAACCGGAUAUUAAAAAUUAGGCAUUAAUACUAAAUACAACGAGAGCAAUUUAGGAUUAAUUAGAACUUAUUGAUUUUCAAAAAGUAUUUCCUGUUACAAAUGGGCUAGCGAGAGCAGGCAUUUGAUCUGGAGGUAUAUCUAGAGUCAACAAAACGAGAGUGUGAGAUAAUGGCUUUUAAAUUAAUAUUUCUUUACUAAAAAGUGAUUUAAUACAUUCACACAUACCAAUGAAUUAUUGAGUCCCCGAGGUACGUCGGGAUCCACGUUUCGGCCUCUCCUUUCUGCUAUAUUUUCCAAACUUUAUUUUAGUUUUAUUAUUACCUUCCCCCAAAUCAAAAUUUCAUAAGCCUUAGAUUUACAUAGCACCAAUAGAUAGCGAUAAGUUUGAUUAUUGAUCCAUGUAGAUUCGAUGUCUUUUAAAACUACGUGAGACAACUAUGCACUUGCAAUUAGAUAUUUCGAUAGACUCACUAAGUCGCAAUCAACCACUCACACUUGAAUCCCAACAAUCUCUCCCACAGGUGUAAUUCAACCAUUUCACUGGCCUUGAUCUACAUUAUGAUCCAUGUUUUCUCCCCCACCGAGCCUAACUAUACUCUGGUACCAUUUGUUAGGGAGUCCAUGGAGUGCAAGAAGUGUCAAUAAGUUAAAUGUUCAUGGAUCCAAGAGACUUUGACACCACAUAUUGAUAAAUGUCUUUACAUCGUUCUUUCUAGUCAUUUUCCUUUAUUAUUCUACCAUAUUUUGUUCUAUUUCCUUUCAUUUAUCAUGUUUUAUGCUUUGGUUGGAGUUUUCUUGUGAAUUCCAGGGUGUAAUGAGCAUCCAAGACAAAGAGGGAUCAAAGACAUGCAAAACGGAGCAAAAUGGUAUUUUGGAAAUUUCUCCCAUACAAAAACCUGGGACUGCUACGACCAUCCCUAUCAUUUUCUACAUGUCGUAGCAGCAUGAUGCCUCAUCCCCCAUAUUUGCAAAUUACCAAUAGUAAAUGCAGAAGGCAGAUACGACCACCUGUAGCAGCUGUUACAGGCCGUAGCAGGGAGGCAAUAGAAAAGUCAAAUAUUUGUUUUGCUUCCAUAAAUAAAAUGAUUCACUCUUAAUUAUGGCUCUUAGGCACGAUUGGAUCUGUAUCUAAUCUGAAUAUUUCAUAUUGAACCAAAUAUAUUUUGCACUUUUAAUUUU